RNAcentral lists this long non-coding RNA (3029 nucleotides) under Sus scrofa (pig). RNAcentral's name for it is "lncRNA (ENSSSCG00000059746.1)". The record is from RNAcentral. Lineage: Eukaryota; Metazoa; Chordata; Mammalia; Artiodactyla; Suidae.
UACCCUCCGAAUUUCAGGCAGACAUCCCAGAGUUCUGUCGCCCUAUCUGUUCCUAGGGCCUUUCUCUAUGUCCCUCGUGGGCUCCUAACUUCAGAGGAAGCAGCUGUGUUCUGGAGCCCAGGCACCAUGCUUUGCAUAAACAAGCAAUUUCGUCAUGACAUGCAUGUGUUGAUAAUCCUGAAACACUCAUUGAGAGGGUCGAUGCAAUUGACCUAGGAUGACCGAUACCAAACAGAAUUUGAAGAACAGGUGGCCAACUCCUACGGAACUCAGUCCCUCGCUCUUCUUUCAAGAAUGGAAAGUAAAAUGAUUUUUGGACUGAUGAAAUUAUAAGAACAAUGAUGCAGUUUAUACAAAACAAACAGCUUUUUCUGUAACCUGCCUCCAAAGAAAUAGAAUUUCCUAGGGAAACAGUGACUCAUGUAUAGUUUCUCAACUUUGAGUCAGAUCCUGGCCUUCACAGAGAAAAAAAAAAAAAAAAAAUGAAUGGGGUCAGGAUGAAUCAACUUGCGAUCUCAAAAUGAUGAUGAAACACAACUUUCUGAGUGAUGUCUAAGUUUCCUGAACAUGCUACAAAUGCAGUUUGAAAGAGGCAGCUAUAGGAGCCCCCUACAAAAAAGUCUGGAAUACUAGCGUGUCGGAUGGCAGGAAAUAAGAUGAAAUCUGAGGCCUCAGGUCCACCCUCCUCUAUUCUUGGAGGCAUUUUGAGGUGUAGUUACAUGUCUAUUGCUUUUUGCCCCUGUGCCAUCUUCUAUUUACAGCCAGUUACAGAGUCAUUGGACUGCAGAACUAGAAGGAAGCUUAGAAGACCAGAAGGGCAGAAAAUUUAUCAGACUUUUUUUCUAUAUAUAAGAGAAAGGAAUCCCAGCCCUAUUCCUCCCUUUCCUUUCCAGGAGACUCCUUUGGGCUGCCUGAACAUGAAUAUCAAACCUGCUACCUAUCUUAUGGCCCAUCCUUCUGGUGGAAAUAUGAAGGCAUGGCCAGAAAUGGCCUUCCAGAAAUGGAGACAACUAAAUGUCUUUACUCUUUUUUUUUUUUUUUUUUUUUUUUUUGUCUUUUCUAGGGCCACACCUGUGGUAUACGGAGGUUUCUACAUCUGCAGUCUACACCACAGCUCACGGCAACGCCGGAUCCUUAACCCACUGAGUGAAGCCAGGGAUCGAACCUGCAACCUCACGGUUCCUAGUUGGAUUCGUUAACCCCUGAGCCAUGACGGGAAUGCCCAAAUUUCUUUACUCUUACUAGCAGAAUUAUAUAUAAAACAGAUUGGGGUAACCUGUAACCUCAGAAUGAGGUCAGAUUUAAAUUCAUAGCAAUAAAUAUCUAUCCCUGCAGUCCUCUCUAUGUGACUGCAACGUGUAAGUUCAUUCCCUGAAACCCUUUUCUAGGUACCAACUAAGUGCCAGGUGCUGCAGAUGUACAGGUCAGUCAAACGUUUCCUGUCCCUAUGGAACUCACAGUAGCAAUCAGAGGAAACCAUUCAUGGAAACAAGAAAGGAAUGGAUUCUUUUCAGAGUGCUGUUAGGUUCCAAAGGAGAGAGAGGUCAUUUCUACCUCUGGAGAUAAGGAAUGGGGUCAAGAAAGGGAUCCAAGGAAAGGUGGCCUUAAGCUAAGUCUUACAAUGACGUAGGGGUGCCCAGGCUGCUUCUGGCAGAGAAGACACUGAGCUAAGACACAGAAGCAUGAAACGGCAUGGGGACCUCUAAGGGACUGCCUGUAAUUCACUGGAAUGAGCAAAAAGCUCAAGAAGGACUUAGUAAGAACUGAGGCUGGAUGGAAAGACAGGUUCAAUGUAAGCACUUUAAUAGAAUACGUCUAUUUAAUUUCUGAUUCAAAUAAACAUUUCUUGGUCAUUUAUUAUGUACAAGGCACCAAGUGCAUCACGGAAAAUUGAUCAGGAUGUGUUGCCAGCACUUUGCAGACCAGACAGUCUUCGGCCUCAAGCUUUCCAGUGGCCAAAGGGAAACAGUGACUGCUCUUCAUAUACUUGAUCGCAAUGUUUUGAUAUGGUCAAGGAAGACUGAUAAAAGGGCAGUGGCAUUUUCACAGAAGCAUUCCAUGUUGUCAAGAGCCUCUGGGAUUUUUCUCUCAGCGGUGAAAAAGAAAACUGGAAACUUCGAAGACGUGGGGUCUGCAGAGGGGACCCCAACCAAGCCCUGUCCAGUUGUGUGCUGGAAGGAAUGGGGAGAGGGCACAGGAAUGGGAGCCUCUCUACACCACCCUCUCACUCCAGCAAUACACUCACCAUUUCACAGAAUAGAAAUGAGUUAUCAGUUAAAGGCUUUAGAGUAAAUAAUUUCUUUUCCCAGCAAUGCAUGAAGAUAGAGUAUCGGAAUCUUCUCAAACGAUUUUUAGGGUAUUGGGGAUUUUCAGGAUCUGGAGAACUUAGAGGUGGAGGAAUACAGCUAUAAAUUUUCAGUUAAUAUAAGCAAUCAGGAAGCUCUGGUCAUUCAGGCUAUGCACCGUGUGCAUAGUUGAGAAUCGGCAGAAAUCUUCUGCAUUUGCAAACACUUUGUGCUAUAAAAAGUAAUUUUAAAAAGCCACCUGUAUAUGUAUAUAUAUAUAUUUAAAGACAUGAAGGUUUUGAUACUUUUUUACAAAAAUUACAAGAUAAAACAAAUACCUGUACAAACCAUGUGUUUUAAAAUAGCAUUUUGUUCUCUUCAGGCUGUUGUUGAUGUGGGGUAAAGUACUGGUUUGUAAACUCCAUCACAUUGUACCCAGACAAAAUUUUCCUUGUUUGUAUCCACCCCAGCACCCCUCAAGGACCACAUUUGACUGUAUUUGAUGUAACAGGCAUGUUAGAAUGUGGGGUCCCCCUAACCAUUUCUGCUUUUUGUCUUGUCCUUCCAAGUUCCGUUAGCUUCUGUACUCGGUCCCCUUUGGAGUCUGGUUUCUCUUCCAGAGGCAAAGGGUGAUGUGCUGCAUCUCACUAGUUGACUUACAUCAUCUUGAUGAACUAAAAACCAAAUGUGGACGUUUGUAAAAUAAAUGCACUCUUUCUAGAGAUUAAAUUCAUUUUUUAAAAU